This 1346-nucleotide ribosomal RNA is filed under the name uncultured bacterium. RNAcentral describes it as "bacterial SSU rRNA". It matches the Rfam family "Bacterial small subunit ribosomal RNA", at positions 28 to 1381 of the family's 1533-position model. The record is from RNAcentral.
GACGAACGCUGGCGGCGUGCUUAACACAUGCAAGUCGAACGGAAAGGCCCUGCUUUUGUGGGGUGCUCGAGUGGCGAACGGGUGAGUAACACGUGAGUAACCUGCCCUUGACUUUGGGAUAACUUCAGGAAACUGGGGCUAAUACCGGAUAGGAGCUCCUGCUGCAUGGUGGGGGUUGGAAAGUUUCGGCGGUUGGGGAUGGACUCGCGGCUUAUCAGCUUGUUGGUGGGGUAGUGGCUUACCAAGGCUUUGACGGGUAGCCGGCCUGAGAGGGUGACCGGCCACAUUGGGACUGAGAUACGGCCCAGACUCCUACGGGAGGCAGCAGUGGGGAAUAUUGCACAAUGGGCGGAAGCCUGAUGCAGCAACGCCGCGUGCGGGAUGACGGCCUUCGGGUUGUAAACCGCUUUCGCCUGUGACGAAGCGUGAGUGACGGUAAUGGGUAAAGAAGCACCGGCUAACUACGUGCCAGCAGCCGCGGUGAUACGUAGGGUGCGAGCGUUGUCCGGAUUUAUUGGGCGUAAAGGGCUCGUAGGUGGUUGAUCGCGUCGGAAGUGUAAUCUUGGGGCUUAACCCUGAGCGUGCCUUCGAUACGGGUUGACUUGAGGAAGGUAGGGGAGAAUGGAAUUCCUGGUGGAGCGGAGGAAUGCGCAGAUAUCAGGAGGAACACCAGUGGCGAAGGCGGUUCUCUGGGCCUUUCCUGACGCUGAGGAGCGAAAGCGUGGGGAGCGAACAGGCUUAGAUACCCUGGUAGUCCACGCUGUAAACGGUGGGUACUAGGUGUGGGGUCCAUUCCACGGGUUCCGUGCCGUAGCUAACGCUUUAAGUACCCCGCCUGGGGAGUACGGCCGCAAGGCUAAAACUCAAAGGAAUUGACGGGGCCCCGCACAAGCGGCGGAGCAUGCGGAUUAAUUCGAUGCAACGCGUAGAACCUUACCUGGGUUUGACAUGGAUCGGGAGUGCUCAGAGAUGGGUGUGCCUCUUUUGGGGUCGGUUCACAGGUGGUGCAUGCCUGUCGUCAGCUCGUGUCGUGAGAUGUUGGGUUAAGUCCCGCAACGAGCGCAACCCUUGUUCACUGUUGCCAGCACGUUAUGGUGGGGACUCAGUGGAGACCGCCGGGGUCAACUCGGAGGAAGGUGGGGAUGACGUCAAGUCCUCAUGCCCCUUAUGUCCAGGGCUUCACGCAUGCUACAAUGGCUGGUACAGAGAGUGGCGAGCCUGUGAGGGUGAGCGAAUCUCGGAAAGCCGGUCUCAGUUCGGAUUGGGGUCUGCAACUCGACCUCAUGAAGUCGGAGUCGCUAGUAAUCGCAGAUCAGCAACGCUGCGGUGAAUACGUUCCCGGGGCU